UCUUCGGGGAUGAUUAAACCGGCGCACGGGUGAGUAACACGUGAGUGACCUGCCUUUUAGACUGGAACAACUUACCGAAAGGUGAGCUAAUGCCGGAUGAGUUAUAUAAGUGCAUGUUUAUAUAGGAAAAGUUGGGGAGACCUGACGCUGAAAGAUGGACUCGCGUCCCAUUAGCUAGUUGGUAGGGUAAUGGCCUACCAAGGCGACGAUGGGUAGCCGGCCUGAGAGGGUGGCCGGCCACACUGGGACUGAGACACGGCCCAGACUCCUACGGGAGGCAGCAGUGGGGAAUUUUGCGCAAUGCUCGUAAGAGUGACGCAGCGACGCCGCGUGAAUGACGAAGGCCUUCGGGUCGUAAAGUUCUUUCGACAGGGAAGAAAAUGCCUAUAAGUAACUGUGUAUGUAUUGACGGUACCUGUAUAAGCAGCCCCGGCUAACUCCGUGCCAGCAGCCGCGGUAAUACGGAGGGGGCGAGCGUUGUUCGGAGUGACUGGGCGUAAAGAGCACGUAGGCGGUGUUGUAAGUCAUUAGUCAAAGACUAGAGCUCAACUUUAGUAAGGCUAGUGAUACUAUAAUACUAGAGUAUCAGAGAGGAUUGCAGAAUUCCUGGUGUAGCGGUGAAAUGCGUAGAUAUCAGGAGGAAUACCGUUAGCGAAGGCGGCAAUCUGGCUGGAAACUGACGCUGAGGUGCGAAAGCGUGGGUAGCAAACAGGAUUAGAUACCCUGGUAGUCCACGCUGUAAACG
Molecule: ribosomal RNA, 745 nt
Filed under: uncultured bacterium
Lineage: Bacteria
Description: bacterial SSU rRNA
Rfam family: Bacterial small subunit ribosomal RNA
Source: RNAcentral